CGUCUGACCCCCUGAACUCUCCCACCCCCCAUGGUGGAGAGGGGCUGCUUUAUUUCUCCUGCCCCCUGAGCUCUGACCUGGGCGGCAUCCAUCUCCUGAGAACCCUCCACUUCCCCUGGCCUCUCUCCCUACCACAUCUGUUUCCCGUCAGGUUCCAGCUGUGGUUCCCCUCUGCCGGCCCUGCCCCCCAGGAGAAGAAAACACUAAUGGGCUUUGCCUCACUGAGGGCGGGGGGUGGGGGGGCGGGAAUGGCCCUGGGGUGAUCAAUUCCAGCUGCUGGAUGUUUUCCCUCCACAGAGGGGAGUUGCCUUGACAGCUUCCCCACCUCCUCCACCCAGUGCCUGGGCAGGGAGGAGCCAGGACCCAAGGAAGGAAGGGGCACUGAUAGGGUCAUGGCCAAGGAGUGAGGACAGCCAGGACAUGCGUUGCAGGGGCUUUUCCACAGGGACUCAUCUGGUCCUCCUGCUCCCAGCUGCCCCCUCUACAAAUUAGUAAUAGCAAUUAUAUGUGUAUUAGUAAUAAUACAUGUUAAUACUGACCAACACUUUGCUCUUUGUGUGACAGCCGCUGCUGUCAUAAGGUGAUCACUUUGCACAUAUGACCUUAUUUAUUUACUCUUCACAAUAAUGCCAUCAAGUAGCCCAUUGUAUAGAGAAGAAAAAUUGAGGCACAAAGAGGCUAAGUGACUUGGGAGAGGUCACACGCAAUUACAAAGUCUUGCAGAACUCUUUACGUUUAGAAAGUAACUUAAAACAGUCGUCUCAUUGACUUGUGUCCCUAUCACACAUACAGCACAUAUUAUUAAACCGCACCCCCCCCACCCAGGUUACACAAGGUUCUAGAGGAGAAAGUUCUUACCCAACAGCCCUUGGCAGAUAAGUGAAGCUGCAGGCACCUGGCAAGACUCUUAAUGUCUUGGAGCCUCAGUUUCUUCAUCUGUAAUAUAUGAGGAUAAUAAUAUGCCCCUCUCAGGAGGUUAGGUGGUAUGAUUUAUGCGGCUGCAGUUUGCAAAGUGUAAAUCCUGGAGAGCAAGGGUGGUGUCAGGUCUGCGUGGUUGGGCCUCUCUGGCCCCCCCGGAAGGUGGGUUCAGGGAGGGGCCCAGGCCAGCAUGAAGAGUAGGAAAGGGGAGCUGGCCGGGGGGAGGGGAGACUUCAGAGCCUCCUACAUGGGACCUACCUAUGGGAGCGAGCAGAGAGUCUCUGUGUGGCUGGGAUCACUGGGAUUGGUGUAUGGGGACCCAGACUUCAGCCCAAGAUUGGGGGGCACUUCCUUCAGCACAGGCAAUGAGCUGAGCCAGGGAACUCAGCUGACAGCUCCCCAGCCCUGGAGCGUGUAGGCGGUACCCAUGGGAUCCUGUAGGUGUCCAUCUGGAGAGCAGGGGAUGUGACAUUCCCAGACCUUCCAGCAUGGAACUGUGGCUUCAACUUUCAGUGACCUCUCCCAGCUGGUAUUCCCCUCCUAUUAGUAAUAAUCAUAAACAGCAUUAAUAACAUUUAUGUGCUAUGCUCUUUCUAUUCAUGAUCUUCCUGGCAUUGUAACAACAGUCUCAAGAGCAAAGUGUUGUUGACGUCCCCUUUCACAGACGAAGAAGUGGAGGAUCAGAGGUGUCAGGUUUGACAUGAAGCCAAACGCUUUCUCCUCUCUCCUGGCCAGGAAAGCCAGUCAUCUGAAAGCUUCUGGAGAUGAGGCCAAGGCUUCUGCCUCUUUUCCAGGUCUUCCCAGCGUGGCUUUAGGCCUAGAAGCACAGGGAUGGUCUCUAUGACCCUGGAUCAGAACCCAGCCCACCCACAGUCUAUACCCUCACCUCCUAGAUCCCUCUGACUCAUCCAUGCCUCCAACUGUCAGCUUUAGGCCAGGUACUGAAUACUUGGGCAGAAAAGUUAGUGUGCCACUUUUGAGCAGUUUGCAGCCUGCCUAGGGGACAGCGCUCCUGCUCAGCUUAUUCCAGGAUCAUCCUGGGUCAUGGUUGCUGGCCCCAAGGCUCCCUUGGCCCACACCAGCCUGCAGUUCCUGCCCCUCUCCUUGGCAUGUGGCUCUGAGCUGGCCCUAACCGGCUUCCUUUGAGUCUCCCCAGGUCUAUUCAGGGGACCCUGCUGCAGGGAGGGGUUCUGGGCCAAGAUUCUGGCUGCCAGCUAGGAAACUAUCUGCCUCAGGAGGUGUGCCUAAAAGCCUCCAUACAUCUUCCAGAGAAACAGGUCUUUGCUGGCUUUUGAGAGCCAGGAUGAGAGGGACAGAGGGAGCGGGGAAGCCCCGUGUAUAACAGAAAUAUGUUUGUAUGUGCCCAACACUGCUCAGUUUACAGACAUCUAGAUACUGACUCCUCCCUGCAAACAAGCUCAACAGUCACCCACUUUACAGAUGUGGAAAUGGAAGCUCUCUGAGGCCACAUUGUGAAUGAGUGGUAUCAUAGGUCUAGCUUUUCUUGGGGCCUCGGUUUCCCUGUUAAGAAGCAUCUAGGCACUCAUCAAACAGGGCAGGUGCUGUGCCAGGCUCAGGGAUCAGGGACAAAUUAGAACACUGGCAGCUGACCACACAGAGCUAAGGGUUCAAUUACUCUAAGCCUGAAACACCGGGACUGUGUCGAGGUUAAACACCCUUUGAGUCUUGAGGCCACAGGAGCAGUUGUGUGGGUGACAAGUGACCUGGGAAGAGGCAGUGGAUGCUGGGAAUCAGGAGAUAUGACUUGGGCCUCCCUUGUGCUGGACCCUGGUUUCAUCAUCUGGUUAAUGUCUGUGCACCGUUGUCCUGCCUCUGUCCUGGGCUUUAGUGAGCUUCAAAUGGUGGCCGCUCAGAGAUCACGGGGGAGGGCGAAGUGGCAUCUAGACCCAGGGCUCUGGGUAAAAGCCUCCCAUAGCCCUAGCCCCAGCCCAAGGCCUCAGCCAUGCCUCUGGGACUUAGGACACAUGUGUUGCCUGCAGUAGGUGAGAGGCAGGAAGGGUCCUGGGUGCUUCUUGAAACAACCUCUGUGAUUACAGGCGCACGUGCUCUCUCUCCGGGCCCACCCUGUGUAUCUCUCUCCCUCUUCCUGUCUGUCUGUCUGGCGCACUGUCUCUGCCUCUCCCCACAUCUGUCUCACUCUCCCUGCUUCUCUGGUAUUUCUUUCUCUCCACCCUCUCCUCCCCACCCUUGGGCCCGCGUCUACCUUCCUCUCUGCAGAGACCCCUGGAGAAGCCCGAUGGCCUGGACGUGUCUGACCAGAGCAAGGAGCACCCCCAGCACCUGUGCGAGAAGUGCAAGGUGCUGGGCUACUACUGCCGGCGCGUGCAAUGACCCGGCCGCCCACCAUGCCCCACCGCCCUCCUGCCAGCUGGAGAAGACGCAACCACCCUGCAUGUCCCCAAGUGUGCACGUGCAAGGGGGCAUCCUCAAAGGCUUACAGGUCUGGUGGGUGGGCUCUUAUGUUCUUGUAUGUUGACAAACAGUGUUAACUGACGUAGCUGCCGCCCCACAAGGCCCGCUCUCUGCGACUCUCUACAGGUGGGCCUGGGUCUGUGUGGAGGGGACAAGGUGAGCAGAGGUCAGCGCACAGGACCCCACAGAGCCUUCAGCGUCCCCUGCAGGCUCUCCUCUGAGACUCCCUUUUGGGUGAGCAGCCUUACAUUGGCCACAAGUGCACUAAAUUUACUGUGAAUCCCAGAGCCUGCAGGGGACGGUCUCCCAAAACCAGCUAGGUGGCCUUCUCCCACCCAGAACCUUCCAGUUUGCCCUGUGUGAAAAGCCACUCUUGGAAAGCCCUAAUUUUCUAAGUCAGUGCUCAUGGCAAGCUGACUCCUGUUCUAGCAGCUGCUGGGGAGCGGGCAUCUCUGCCCCCUGCCACUUUGAGCCCCAAACCUGACUGCCUCUGAAGCCACUGGCAUUGCACCUGGGCCCCGCACAUCUCCCCUCCCCCUACACCCCAGAGGUCAGGGAUGGGGAGGCACUGAAUGUUGGACGGUGCUCCAGCGUGUGACCUGGGGCACAGAGGGCAACGCCCCCUCCCCCACCACAGACUUCCCUCACGCGUUUGGAUUUUGCCAGCCCUAUCCCCUUCCCUUCUCCUUCCCCUCUCACCCAUGCUGGGGAGCCACACCCGGAAGGAGGCAAUAGGACCCAGCAGGGAAACCACUCUGGCAGGAAGGACCCAGGCCUGGCAGUCCAAAGACCUGGGUUUUAAUGCUGACCCCGCCACUGAUGCACUACAGAGCCUUGAGAAGGAUUCUCACCUCUGGGCCUCUGUUUCCCCACUAAGAGAAAGAGAGAGUGACACCAGAGAGGCCCAUUUCUGUCCUGAUGUUCUGGAAUUCUGCCUGGCUGGGUGCCAUCUCCUGGAGCAGAGAGCUUUAUUUGGAGAGUUUCCCCAGGCUCCCUACCCAUCCCCUUCCCACUAUCACCCAUCAGUCAGUCACUUAAGAAAUCAGGUGGAGGGAUGCAGGUCCUCCCCUGUUGCCCCCUGCAACCCCAGCCAUGUCUUUUGUCCCCUACCCUGCAAACGUGAAGGAGAAAGGUCUCCCCCUCCUUACAGGGCAACCCCAAGACACGCUACAGAACCUCUGGUUUGCAAAGUGGGGACAAUGAUUCCUACCUCCCGAGGGGGCGGAGAGGCCUCCUGGCACUCACACUGGACAGGCCUGCCAAUGCUGUCCUGGCUAGUGGGAAGGAUUGCCUUCCUCUCUGCUCUGUCCCCCAUGAGAAGCCCUAUUUGCUUUGUCAUAUUACCCUUCCUUUCUCCCAGGGCUGGGUCCUUUGAUGUUGCCCCAACAUUAUGCCUCUGUGGGGAAAAAAAAAAAAAAAAAAAAAAAAUCAGACCGCGGAAUGGGCCUGAAAUUCAGUGUUUACCACGGCUCAAGGACACCCAACCUGGGGCCGGUCGUCUUUGGUUUUCAAGUGAAAAUGCUUUGUACAACUGAGGAGUUACGGCAAAGUGUUAAUCAGGGGUCCAGGGAGUGAGUUGAAGAGAUGGAGUUGAGAGUAUUUGCAGCCAGAGGGCUGCAGGGUAGAUUGGGGGGGGCCAAGCCCUCUGAGCACUUAGGAAGGGUGUGUGUGCUCCAGCCUGAGCCCUGUAGCUGCCUCCCUCCAGGCCUGCAGGGGCAGAACGCCCGCCACCAACUGUGAACGUGCUUACCGCCCACUGAAGAAUCCCUCUGCUCCCUGCCUGCUCUACUGUGUCAAGGUGAGCCAGAGUCACCCUGGCCCUGGGUUCUCUGUCCCCGAGAAGCUGUCACUGUCAGUCAUCCUCGUGUCCCUCUAAAGAGAGCAUUCACAAGGGGUGGCAGUGUCCUGGUUUCCACUGCGAGGACAAGGCCCCAAGACUUCCAGGGACUUGGCCCCACAGGGAGGACCUGGGCUUCUGGGUGCUUGGGCUGAGGUUGUGCGGGAAGUCCACAUCCUAGAAAGAACCCAGGCUCCAGACUCCAGAAGGAAUAUCACCCCAAAGUGACCUUUGCAGUGGGCUUGUCCAGCUGGCAGUCACUGCCGCUGCCAUCUGUGCAGAAUCAGCCACUGUGGGGGGGCUAGGCCCUCCUGCCUGGGGCAGCCCUUCCAUAUUGCCCCCGCCCCCUGGCUGAAUUUGGGAGCUCUGUGUGGUCAGCAAAAGCCACUGCUGUCCAGGCUGGUGCUGUGAGAAUUAAGUGCUCAGAGGGCCCGGGCGUCCAGGAGACAAGAAAGUGUGUGGUUUCAGUAUGUUCAAAAGGGACAAUCGCUUGCAGUUAGUAGAUCUAGCGAUCUAGUUGGGAGAUAAUGGUGUUUACCCCAUAUGAAGUAUUCAAUAGUUCUACUUGUGAAUUUGUAUUUAUUUUGAGUUAUACUUGACACAGAAUUCCUUUUUUUUUUUUUUUUUAAAGAAAAAUACUAUGUGUGUAUUUUGAAAAGAAAAUUCAUGGAUGUUAAAAUUUCUGCAUGGUUUCCAAUUUUUCUCACAACACUGAAUUUGUUACCUUCUCCCGAAAGAUCUUCACAGUGAUUUUUGUCUGUAUAUAUUUGAGGGCCUUUU
This 5968-nucleotide long non-coding RNA is filed under the name Sus scrofa (pig). RNAcentral describes it as "lncRNA (ENSSSCG00050051487.1)". Lineage: Eukaryota; Metazoa; Chordata; Mammalia; Artiodactyla; Suidae. The record is from RNAcentral.